CCUACGGGUGGCAGCAGUGGGGGAUAUUGGACAAUGGGGGAAACGCUGAUCCAGCGACGCCGCGUGAGUGAAGAAGUAUUUCGGUAGGUAAAGCUCUGUCAGCAGGGAAGAAAGAAAUGACGGUACCUGACCAAGAAGCCCCGGCUAACACCGUGCCAGCAGCCGCCGUAAUACGUAGGGGGCAAGCUUUAUCCGGAAUUACGGGGUGUAAAAGUAGCGUAGAUGGUGAUGCACGUCUGGAGUGAAAGGCGGGGGCCCAACCCCCGGACUGCUCUGGAAACUGUGUAACUUGAGUGCAGGUGAGGUAAGCGGAAUUCCUAGUGUAGCGGUGAAAUGCGUAGAUAUUAGGAGGAACACCAGUGGCGAAGGCAGCUUACUGGACUGUAACUAACGUUGAGGCUCGAAAGCGUGGGGAGCAAACAGGAUUAGAUACCCUUGUAGUC
RNAcentral lists this ribosomal RNA (443 nucleotides) under uncultured bacterium. Its description in RNAcentral is "partial 16S ribosomal RNA". It matches the Rfam family "Bacterial small subunit ribosomal RNA", at positions 338 to 795 of the family's 1533-position model. The record is from RNAcentral.